This is a long non-coding RNA of Oncorhynchus kisutch (coho salmon), 4858 nucleotides long. RefSeq lists it as uncharacterized. The record is from RefSeq and is a predicted model, not a curated record. The transcript has 2 exons. NCBI's taxonomy places the organism in Eukaryota, Metazoa, Chordata, Actinopteri, Salmoniformes, Salmonidae.
UCCCUCACCCCUCCACCCCUACUUUCCUCUCCCCUACUUUCCUCUCCCCUACUUUCCUCUCCCCUACCCCCUUAUAGCUCUUCUGUCUCUCUCUGCGGCACUGUGGUGUGGUAGGUAGAUUAUAUCUCCUCUCUCUGCGACACUGUGGUGUGGUAAGUAGAUUAUGUCUCCUCUCUCUGCGGCACUGUGGUGUGGUAGGUAGAUUAUAUCUCCUCUCUCUGCGACACUGUGGUGUGGUAGGUCGAUUAUGUCUCCUCUCUCUGCGCCACUGUGGUGUGGUAGGUAGAUUAUGUCUCCUCUCUCUGCGCCACUGUGGUGUGGUAGGUAGAUUAUGUCUCCUCUCUCUGCGCCACUGUGGUGUGGUAGGUAGAUUAUGUCUCCUCUCUCUGCGCCACUGUGGUGUGGUAGGUAGAUUAUGUCUCCUCUCUCUGCGCCACUGUGGUGUGGUAGGUAGAUUAUGUCUCCUCUCUCUGCGCCACUGUGGUGUGGUAGGUAGAUUAUGUCUCCUCUCUCUGCGGCACUGUGGUGUGGUAGGUAGAUUAUGUCUCUCUCUGCGACACUGUGGUGUGGUAGGUAUAUUAUAUCUCUCUCUGCGCCACUGUGGUGUGGUAGGUAGAUUAUGUCUCUCUCUGCGCCACUGUGGUGUGGUAGGUAGAUUAUGUCUCUCUGCGCCACUGUGGUGUGGUAGGUAGAUUAUGUCUCUCUCUGCGCCACUGUGGUGUGGUAGGUAGAAUUUUGCUCUCUGGUUUGAUUGAUCAAGUAAAAGUAGUGCUUACAGAAUAAGGUGCAUAUUUUGUUUUUAAAUAGCUGGUAUCUAUUCAUGUUUAUUAGACAUUUCAAUCUUAUUACAAGUUACAUUGUUUUUGUUUUAUAUAUUUGUUUUCUGCAAUAACAACAACCGUUGUAGCUGCAUUUACUGCUGGUCCAGUUAGACUCCAUGUUAAUAUGUUGUAUUCUUCAGUUCUCUCUGGUAGCAACCAGCUAGCGACACAGAGGACAGCCUCCGGACAGGCCUUCUGUACUCUUCUAUAUGAUCAGUUUGGAUUCUAAUCUAUAACAAUAAUAUGUUUUCCGUAACGUUACCGUAAUCGUUCUAUAGCGUUAUUGAUAAUCCCUGGAUGCUACUGCAACAAACCAGCCGGCGAGAUCGACCCAGAGUCGACCUUUUAUCAUAACCUUCUUUGUCUUUCUGUCGACUAGUUUUUAUUUUAUUUGGUGUUUUCCAUGUCGUUGUUGUUUCUACUUCUCUGAUGAACAACUGUGGGUGUGUAGCGGUAUGCAUCUUAUGAGCACAAGAUGUUGAAAAUAAGUCUUUCAAACUAUUUUGCUCACUGGGUAGAUAGGCAGCUGCAGCUUGUGAAACGAACUUGUUUUACUAACUCCUGUACCAAGGCAGCAGACAUUCCUUCCUAUAGGGAACCUAGGACAGGUGUUGCAUUCAUAUCAGUAUUAGUAUAGCUACUAACUUAGUAACAGAAAGGUGAUGAUUUAGUGUUGCAACAUUCCGGAAACAUUCCCUGAAAAUUCCUUGAUUUUUUUUGCGGAAAAUCCUGGUUGGAAAAUCCACAAAUCUUCCAAACAACCAGAAUUGAUAGAAAACCUGAGAAUUUUGGGGGAUGUAACCGUAAGGUGCAAAUCUAGUGGUGAAGGUGACAGAACAUGGUUAAAGCUCCAGGGUUGAUGAAGCACUGUCUAUACAGCUCCUAUAUGCCCUUACAUUCCAUCAUCCCAAGUCAAAUCUAUAGUUCCUGUAACUACAUCCAAGGCUACACGUCCUACAUGGAACCCUAUUCCCAAUGUAAAGCUUCAUACUUUGUCUGGCCACAAUUAUUGCAUAAGGAUUAGGGAUGUCAUUAGGGACGGAGCCUAAACCAUAUUCUCUCAGAGACCGGAUCCAGCUGAACCUAAACCAUAUUUUCUCAGAGACCGGAUCCAGCUGAACCUAAACCAUAUUUUCUCAGAGACCGGAUCCAGCUGAACCUAAACCAUAUUCUCUCAGAGACCGGAUCCAGCUGAAUCUAAACCAUAUUCUCUCUGAGCCAGGAUCCAGUUGAACCUAAACCAUAUUCUCUCAGAGACCGAAUCCAGCUGAACCUACACCAUAUUCUCUCAGAGACCAGAUCCAGUUGAACCUAAACCAUAUUCUCCCAGAGACUGGAUCCAGCUGAACCUAAACCAUAUUCUCUCAGAGACUGGAUCCAGCUGAACCUAAACCAUAUUCUCUCUGAGCCAGGAUGCAGUUGAACCUAAACCAUAUUCUCUCAGAGACUGCAUCCAGCUGAACCUAAACCAUAUUCUCUGAGACCGGAUCCAGCUGAACCUAAACCAUAUUCUCUCAGAGACCGGAUCCAGCUGAACCUAAACCAUAUUCUCUCAGAGACCGGAUCCAGCUGAACCUAAACCAUAUUCUCUCAGAGACCGGAUCCAGCUGAACCUAAACCAUAUUCUCUCAGAGACCGGAUCCAGCUGAACCUAAACCAUAUUCUCUCAGAGACCGGAUCCAGCUGAACCUAAACCAUAUUCUCUCAGAGACCGGAUCCAGCUGAAUCUAAACCAUAUUCUCUCAGAGCUGAUCCAGCUGCUAGUCAGUUGAUGUUAUUAUUAUUGACUUUAAUCUGAGUUCAGAUUUAAACAAAAACUAAUGUGUAGUUCUUCAAAGAUGACUGGUUGAUUUCCACUUUGUACUUUCGGUAAAUGUUAUGAGAGAACUAAAAUGUUGAUAAUGUCCUUUUAAAAUAAUCAUUUAUAAUGUGCAUGAACAGAAAGGGAAGAGGCGUAGUGUCCAGAGGUCAUUUCAUUAUAAAAACGCGUCACUACCAUAGCACUACGGUCGCACAUUUCCGGUGACCUGGGAAUAAUUUUUUUGGAAAGCUACCAGAAUUUUUCAAAAAUUUUUGGAGGCUCUCACUCGUUCUGCUAUGGCAACACAAUGCCCUACACGCUGUAGGGAAAUCACUUAAUAAAAAAACUACUUUUUAUAUAUAGUUAAUUAUGAGACCAUCAUUACGCUGUGCGUAACGAUUGUACAGAGAAAUUUGUAGGUAUUUUUUGAGGAUCAAUUUGUUUAAUGACAUGUAGCUAUUUAAUUUCCCCCCCUUUUUUUUGUUUGUGUAUAAAAUAAAUGUUUUAAAAAGUUGAUCUUUUUUUAGUUUUUAGUGUUGUUUAGGUUAAAGUGCAGGAACACAGUAAUAAUAUAAACACCGCGUUGAUGACAGCCACUUGUGUAUUAUGACGCAUAAUGUGUAUAAUGCUGAAUCAAGGCUACUCAGCAGAUACUCUACAAAAUGUAUAUCCCAAAUGACAGUCUAUUCCCUUUAUAGUACACUACCAGAGGACAAAAGUAGUGCACUAAAUAGGGAAUAGGGGGUUCAUUCGGGACGAUGAUAUUUUUAUUUUGAGACAAUGGAAAAAAAUAUCUUUGUCGUCCAUCUUGUUUGUGAGAUCCGAACACUACUGUAUUAGUCAUGUUAUUGGUUAUUAGUUAUGUUAAUGGUAGAUCACAGGAAGACUGUGCUUCCAAAUCAACACUGUGUCCUAAGUAGCACCCUUCUCUCAAAAGUAGUGCACUAUACAGGGAAUAUACCGUUGAAGUCAAAAGUUUACGAACACCUUAGCCCAAUAUAUUUAAACUCAUUUUUUUCCACAAUUUCUGAAAUGUAAUCCUAGUAAAAAAUUCCCCUGUCUUAGGUCAGUUAAGUCUUAUGUCUUGAGAUGUUAAAUAUAUCCACAUAAUUUCCCCCCCUCAUGAUGCCAUCUAUUUUGUGAAGUGCACCAAUCCCCCCUGCAGCAAAGCACCCCCACAACAUGAUGCUGCCACCCCCGUGCUUCACGGUUGGGAUGGUGUUCUUCGGCUUGCAAGCCCUCCCCCUUUUUCCUCCAAACAUAACAAUGGUCAUUAUGGCCAAACAGUUCCAUUUGUUUCAUCAGACCAGGGGACAUUUCUCCAAAAAGUACCAUCUUUGUCCCCAUAUGUAGUUGCAAACUGUAGUCUGGCUUUUUUUUAUGGCGGUUUAGGAGCAGUGGCUUCUUCCUUGCUGAGUGGCCUUUCAGGUUAUGUCGAUAUAGGACUCGUUUUACUCUGGAUGUAGAUACUUUUGUACCUGUUUCCUCCAGCAACUUUACAAUGUCCUUUGCUGUUGUUCUGGGAUUGAUUUGCACUUUUCUCACCAAAGUACGUACAAACACAUUCUGAGGUCUUGGUUGAUUUCUUUAGAUUUUCCCAUGAUGUCAAGCAAAGAGGCCCUGAGUUUGAAGGUAGGCCUUGAAAUACAUCCUCAGGUACACCUCCAAUUGACUCCAAAUGAUGUCAAUUAGCCUAUCAGAAGCUUCUAAAGCCAUGACAUCAUUUUCUAGAAUGUUCCAAUCUGUUUAAAGGCACAGUCAACGUAGUGUAUGUAAACUUCUGACCCACUGGAAUUGUGAUACAGUGAAUUAUAAGUGAGAUAAUCUAAAACAGAUAGGUGGAAAAAUGACUUGUGUCAUGCACACACUAGAUGUCCUAACCAACUUGCCAAAACUAAUUUGUUAACAAGACAUUUGUGUAGUGGUUGAAAAAUGAGUUUGAAUGACUCCAACCUAAGUGUAUGUUAACUUCUGACUUCAACUGUAUUUCCUGACAAAGGUAAUGCAUUAUGGGAAUCGGGUCCCACUGACACACACAACUUUCAAGCUGCAUCAACAUUGUAAAACCUAGUACUAUGUAGUAGUACUGUAGUACAAUGUAGUAGUACUGUACUACUAUGUAUUGUACUCUCCAAACUGUACAAUCUUUAUUAAACCUUAAUUUUGUGGCCUUGUUUCUCCAAUUGAAAAAGUUUUUGUACUUAAGUCAAUGAACAAUAAAGUGCUCUUAAACGGC